This 426-nucleotide ribosomal RNA is filed under the name uncultured bacterium. Its description in RNAcentral is "bacterial SSU rRNA". It matches the Rfam family "Bacterial small subunit ribosomal RNA", at positions 355 to 773 of the family's 1533-position model. The record is from RNAcentral.
UGGGGAAUAUUGGACAAUGGGGGAAACCCUGAUCCAGCGACGCCGCGUGGGUGAAGAAGGCCUGCGGGUUGUAAAGCCCUUUCGGUAGGGACGAAAGCUUCCGACCUAACACGUCGGGAGGUUGACUUAACCUACAGAAGAAGCACCGGCUAACCCUGUGCCAGCAGCCGCGGUAAUACAGAGGGUGCGAGCGUUAAUCGGAAUUACUGGGCGUAAAGCGCACGUAGGCGGCUUUGCAAGUCGGGUGUGAAAUCCCCGGGCUCAACCUGGGAACUGCAUUCGAGACUGCAUUGCUCGAGUAUGGGAGAGGGAAGUGGAAUUUCCGGUGUAGCGGUGAAAUGCGUAGAUAUCGGAAGGAACAUCAGUGGCGAAGGCGACUUCCUGGACCAAUACUGACGCUCAGGUGCGAAAGCGUGGGGAGCAAAC